Salvelinus namaycush (lake trout) is the source of this 316-nucleotide long non-coding RNA. RefSeq lists it as uncharacterized. The transcript has 3 exons. The record is from RefSeq and is a predicted model, not a curated record. NCBI's taxonomy places the organism in Eukaryota, Metazoa, Chordata, Actinopteri, Salmoniformes, Salmonidae.
CUACAGAACAGUUACAACAACCUGACUAAAGGGAGAGACCAGCUACAGACUGAGAGAGAUUUUCUUAGCGGGUGGCUUACCAAUUGCAGCUGGCAGAAGUUUGAAUCCAGUUGGUACUUCCUGUCUACUGAGACUAAAACCUGGAAUGAGAGCAGAGAGGACUGUCUGAAGAGAGGAGCAGACCUGGUGAUCAUAAACAGCAGAGAGGAACAGACAUUUCUCUUCAACCUCAAGAAGAGAGUCUGGAUUGGUCUGACUGACUCUGUUAAGGAGGGGACCUGGAAAUGGGUGGACGGCACCCCACUGACCACAGGGU